This 252-nucleotide ribosomal RNA is filed under the name uncultured bacterium. RNAcentral describes it as "partial 16S ribosomal RNA". It matches the Rfam family "Bacterial small subunit ribosomal RNA", at positions 524 to 776 of the family's 1533-position model. The record is from RNAcentral.
UACGGAGGAUGCAAGCGUUAUCCGGAAUGAUUGGGCGUAAAGCGUCCGCAGGUGGCUGUGUAAGUCUGCUGUUAAAGAGUGAGGCUCAACCUCAUAAAGGCAGUGGAAACUACAUGGCUAGAGUGCGUUCGGGGCAGAGGGAAUUCCUGGUGUAGCGGUGAAAUGCGUAGAGAUCAGGAAGAACACCGGUGGCGAAAGCGUUCUGCUAGACCUGUACUGACACUGAGGGACGAAAGCUAGGGAGCGAAUGGG